RNAcentral lists this small nucleolar RNA (90 nucleotides) under Balaenoptera musculus (blue whale). RNAcentral's name for it is "Small nucleolar RNA SNORA70 (ENSBMSG00010004594.1)". It matches the Rfam family "Small nucleolar RNA SNORA70". From Rfam's summary of the family: snoRNA U70 seems to be exclusive to mammals and is a member of the H/ACA class of snoRNA which contain H (ANANNA) and ACA box motifs. Lineage: Eukaryota; Metazoa; Chordata; Mammalia; Artiodactyla; Balaenopteridae. The record is from Rfam by way of RNAcentral.
UGCAUGUCAAGAAGCACGGCUACAGAGUCCUUGGUAGUGCGUGCAGCCUGUUGCCUGUACUGGUUGCCCUAAGGGACCUUGGAGACAGCC